AGUGGGAUAACUGGGUCAAAUGGUGGUUCUAUUCCAAGUUUUCUGAGGAAUCUCCAUACUGCUUUCCAGAGUGGUUGUACUAAUUUGCAUUCCCACCAGCAAU
This 103-nucleotide microRNA precursor is filed under the name Marmota monax (woodchuck). The record is from RNAcentral. Lineage: Eukaryota; Metazoa; Chordata; Mammalia; Rodentia; Sciuridae.